GAGUAUGUUGUUUACAGAAUGAAAAGCGAGUUCCACAUAAGCUGAGACUUGGCUUCAGUCAUGCCUGGGAAUCUACAAACUCAAUGCCCUCUCACUGGCAGAACAUAAAAGCUAAAGAUUACCCCUAAUCCCGUGGCAUUUUAAAAUCCAUGGAAUGGGCUUUGGUGCUCAGCAAUUUUCACUUAAAGUCACACACUCUUUUGGAGCUGGGUGCGGUGGCUCAGGACUGUAAUUCCAGCUACAUGAGAGGAUUGCCUGAGGCCAGGAGUUUGAGACCAGCCUGAACAACAUAAUAGACUGGGAGCUCCAUGAGGUCCGAGACAACCUGAAGACGCCCAGCUCAGCAGAGACUGGCUACGGCAAUCACUCAGUAACUAUUUGUUGAAUUGGACAUAAUAGAAGAGCUGAAGAAUUUUAAACAAGUCACCAUCAGUGCAGUGGAUUCCUCAAAGCAAACCUGGAAAUCUCGGCAUGAGUUGGAUUUAAGGCAGUACAUUUUCAGCUCCUGAAAAUUUGAACAGUUUCUCAAGAGAACAACUUGAAACAGAAAGGCAAGGAUGUAGAUGUGGUUGUAGAAGAUGAUGUCUGCGGCCACCAAACUGUCCACUGUGAAGACAAACCAUGC
Long non-coding RNA from Homo sapiens (human), 625 nucleotides. Ensembl annotates it as long intergenic non-protein coding RNA 649. The record is from Ensembl. Lineage: Eukaryota; Metazoa; Chordata; Mammalia; Primates; Hominidae.